GAAUAUUGCACAAUGGGGGAAACCCUGAUGCAGCGACGCCGCGUGAGUGAAGAAGUAUUUCGGUAUGUAAAGCUCUAUCAGCAGGGACGAUAAUGACGGUACCUGACUAAGAAGCCCCGGCUACCUACGUGCCAGCAGCCGCGGUAAUACGUAGGGGGCAAGCGUUAUCCGGAUUUACUGGGUGUAAAGGGAGCGUAGACGGUGAUGUAAGUCAGAUGUGAAAGCCCAGGGCUCAACCCUGGGACUGCAUUUGAAACUAUGUUGCUAGAGUGCAGGAGAGGUAAGUGGAAUUCCUAGUGUAGCGGUGAAAUGCGUAGAUAUUAGGAGGAAUACCAGUGGCGAAGGCGACUUUCUGGACUUAUACUGACGCUGAGGAACGAAAGCGUGGGGAGCAAACAGG
Molecule: ribosomal RNA, 400 nt
Filed under: uncultured bacterium
Lineage: Bacteria
Description: bacterial SSU rRNA
Rfam family: Bacterial small subunit ribosomal RNA
Source: RNAcentral